UGGGAUUGGAGAGCUCCCCGCCUUUAUAAGGACAGGUGCAGGCAAUUACUGCCUCUUUGUCUGAUGCCUCGUAGAUGGUGACUGCUGUGUUUGUGCAGGCAGCUGGACGACCUACGGGGAGUAGUCGUGGGAUGCACACCACUUUGCAUGCAGUGUGGUAGACCUGAAGGGUGGAGGUCACAUGAACAGUGAGCUGUGGUUUUGUCCUUGCAGUGGCAGUGAUAACUGUGCUCCUGUGGAGCUAUCUAUUGGGGUUUGGGAUAGAAUCGCCCUGCUGCCUACAUAAUGGUCCCCGCUAUUUAGGCAAGCCAGGCACAGAGGCAGGAGAGCUGCGACAGACCAGAUAACCGAGUGGUGCCCCUACAGAGACUGUCCUGCUUCUCUUCGGCCCAGCCUUGGGCAAGGUCUUUAUUGCCUGACCCUGAUGUAAGGCAGUGCAUCCAUCAUUUCCAUGUGAAACAAAUCAAGUCAGUCUCUGAAAUAAUUAAAUUUAUACAAAAACCACCACAUGGCAGAGUCCUAAAGGUUUCAGAAUUCCCCCCAGGUUGUAAAGUACAACUAUCGAUGGGCAGUCUGGGCCAGUGUUAGGGUCACGAUUGUUGCUGCAGGUGCACGUGUCAGCACAUGGUGGAGACGCCCCAACAGUCUAUCUUAGCUCAGGUGGGGAAAAAGAAAAAAAGCUGCAGAAUUUAACACAGGCACGAAUGGACAUUAACCUGGUCUAAGCCUGAGGUCUGGAGACAUGGACAGAAAAAAAUCAAUAUGUUUCCAACGAUGGGCUCUCAACCUUAAUGCAAUUUGUUGUACAUUUUUACAGAGAACAAACAUGAGGGGAACAUACUAAAUAUAAACAUGUUGAAUGCGAGGGUGAGUAACUUUAUUUAAGUGUAUCAGUUUCUACAGAACACUGUUAUGGUGGCAGUUUCCUUUCAUACAAAAUUGGGGAAAGAUCUAAUCAGGUUGAAAGAGGGGAAAAAAACAAAUGGCUUCAAUUUGGUGCUGGUUAAAUAGUCGUGCAGGGUUUUCUGUAUUGUUUGAUAGUGGAGCGGCCACCUACCCUGAAAUAAUGAUCAUCACAAAUGAUCAGAUUAUAUUACAUGCAUUCAUAUUGUACAACCUUUUCUUGAUUUAUGACCAUGUUGCUAUUCAACAUAUCAUGUUACUAUACAUACAAAUUAAAUAUGUUAAAGACUGUGAAUUUUAAACAAAUUGUUCAAUAGCACUUCGUUGUGUUUAAGGUCUGAGAGAAGUUCUAUUUUUCUUUUCUUAUAUUCUUUUUGAAUAUAUUAAAAGAAACUACAAUGCCUUAAACAAAACUCAAGUUUUUGUAUAAACAGCAAUGACUCAACUAUUGACAAAAAGACAAAUCUUUGAACGGUUCAGAAACAACUUGAGC
Paralichthys olivaceus (Japanese flounder) is the source of this 1396-nucleotide long non-coding RNA. RefSeq lists it as uncharacterized. The record is from RefSeq and is a predicted model, not a curated record. Lineage: Eukaryota; Metazoa; Chordata; Actinopteri; Pleuronectiformes; Paralichthyidae.